Molecule: long non-coding RNA, 667 nt
Organism: Ostrinia nubilalis (European corn borer)
Lineage: Eukaryota; Metazoa; Arthropoda; Insecta; Lepidoptera; Crambidae
Exons: 3
Source: RefSeq, a predicted model, not a curated record
UGUGUUGCUGUCUUGCUUGAUCCUUCUUUGUGAUUCGUUUGUGUUUUAGCUUUUAUUUUCGGAACUUUAUUAACUACAAACUUGGCUAUUCAAACGGACUCUGAUUGAUUGCAAUAACGACAUACUCAGCCUGGGAUUUACUGUUUUUGUGUGGCUCGGCCAAGGCUCGGCUGGUGGUUCUAUGGUGUUAGAAAAUGAGCAACUUAAUUAUACACAACAAUGGGCAGCACCUCGAUCGGUUACAGCUCAUGAUCUUAUAUGCACAACAUGUUGGACCCAAGCCCAAGAUACAACACAAAUGCAUCUACUUCAAAUCUUAGCAGAAAAUGUAUGCUUUGCAGUAGAACACUAGAGCCUAGAACACGUUCACAUCAGCUCAUGUCCCUGAGAACUAACACUCAACAUCAUAUUAACAUCAGGAACAUAAUUGUGGAACGACUAACUCCAUUAGAGGUUACUGCAAAUGACUACAUCUGUGGGGCUUGUCACUCAUUAUUGCAAAGAGAUACCACACCUACUUCACAAGACUCUCCAGAUAUGCCAACCGGUGCCCCGGUAGGUCACCAACAAGUUUGUGUUGGAUGUGGUUGUUCAUUAUUGCGAACUUGAAGUCAUUGUUUGGAUACAGAGAAUAAUCAAGAUAUAUUAAACAUUGUUCGAAAUUGGA